GUACCCUCAAGCUUUGCUUGGUGUUGGGCGUCUUGUCUCUCACGAGACUCGCCUUAAAAUCAUUGGCAGCCGACCUACUGGUUUCGGAGCGCAGCACAAUUCUUGCACUUUGAAUCAGCCUUGGUUGAGCAUAUCAAUAAGCGGAGGA
Molecule: unclassified non-coding RNA, 148 nt
Filed under: uncultured Pleosporaceae
Lineage: Eukaryota; Fungi; Ascomycota; Dothideomycetes; Pleosporales; Pleosporaceae
Description: sequence contains ITS2
Source: RNAcentral